Rattus norvegicus (Norway rat) is the source of this 3000-nucleotide long non-coding RNA. RefSeq lists it as uncharacterized. The record is from RefSeq and is a predicted model, not a curated record. Lineage: Eukaryota; Metazoa; Chordata; Mammalia; Rodentia; Muridae.
UUGUGCCUGAAUGCAGAUUAUGUUAUCUUUAUGAGAACAAUUUUCAAAAUGCCUGUUAAAUUAAUUAUAUAGAAAUGUCAGAGUGCGUGUGGUAGCCCCGGCUUGUAUCCAACACUCCGGAGGCUGAAGCAGUAGAAUCUUCAGUUUGAAGCCAGUCUGUGCCACAUAGCUAGCUCUAGGCCAGCCUGGUCUACAGAACGAUUUCUAUCUCAAAAAAAAAAAAAGAAAGAAAGAAAAAGAAAGAAAGAAAAGGAAAAGAAAGAAAGGAAAAGAAAGAAAGGAAAAGAAAAGAAAAAGAAAAAAGGAAGAAAAGAAAGAAAGAGAAAAAAGAAAAGAAAGGGGAAAAAGAAAACGGGGGAGAGGAGACUGAAGACAGAGGGAGGAAGAAACAAUGGAAGGAGGAAGUAAGGAAGUCGUUUGGAGUCCAAUUUUUCAGGUUGUCUGAAGUCUACCUAAGUCACACAAUGGUUCAAAUUGAAGGCACUCACUUCCCAAGACAAUAACUUUGAAAUAAGUGGAUUUUUUUUUACAUAUAACAUUUCAGUUUGUACAUGAGAGCCUAUUUUUUCACAAUUCAUUGUUAUCAUGUGUACUGUAUUUAAGAUUACCAUGAGUUUGUCACAUGGAUGGAAAUCUAAGUUUGGCCCACACACAUCUGUUUUGACAUCAUUUUCCUUGAAUAUAUGGACCAAGUUUUCUGAGAGUUGCCCUUAACCUUGACCUCUGACUUCUCUCUGGGCUUUUCACUCUGGUUGCCUGCCCCCUCUAAUAGAAUGGUCUGUAAUCCCCUAGUCAACACAAGCAACACAGUGUUUCAAGUUCUGCAUGUUUUCAGAAGACUUUUCUAUUUAACAGCUCACGCUGAGGUUUAUUAGAACCAAGAUUUGCUGUGUACACCAUUUUUGGCUUCUCUCUCUGUGUGUGUGUGUGUGUGUGUGUGUGUGUGUGUGUGUGUGUGUGUGUGUGUGUGUGUGUGUCUGUGUGUCUGUGUGGUGUGUGUCUCUGUGUGUGGUGUGUCUCUGUAUGUGUGUAUGUGUGUCUGUGUGUGGUGUGUCUCUGUAUGUGUGUCUGUGUGUAUGUGUGUCUGUGUGUGGUGUGUCUCUCUGUGUGGUGUACUUCUGUGCGUCUGUGUAUGUCUGUGUGUCUGUGUGGUGUGUGUCUCUGUGUGUGGUGUGUCUCUGUAUGUGUGUCUGUGUGUCUGUGUGUGGUGUGUCUCUGUAUGUGUGUCUGUGUGUAUGUGUGUCUGUGUGUGGUGUGUCUCUCUGUGUGGUGUACUUCUGUGCGUCUGUGUAUGUCUGUGUGUCUGUGUGGUGUGUGUCUCUGUGUGUCUGUGACUGUGUGUCUUUCUGUGUGUGUCUGUGCCUAGAGAAACAUUGUUUGCCUUUAGCGAAUGUCCUGUUGACUAAGUCUUGACUUGUUUAUACACUGCAAUAGCUGCUGACCCUUUGUGUGCUCUGUCCCCUACCACAGGGCUGUGGACACGCCCCUCACGUCUCUUCCCCUGAAUUGCUGUUCUCUCUGUGACCCCAAGUUCACCACGUGUUUCAUUGUUGGACUAAUUACCGUUGCAUUGUUUGCCCAAAACACUUGACAGAAACAACACAAGGGAGGAGAGGUUUACUUUUGAGUUUCAGUUUUCGUUUUUUUCAUCCACAGAGUCAAGGAAGAUGUAGCGGGCUUAGUGAGGAGGAGGAUAUGGUGGAGGAACGAGGGCCCAGGAUGCAACCCUCAGUGACCCACCCAAAGUGACCUAGGCAGCUAGGUUCUGCCUCCUGAAGGUUCUACUGCCUCCAAAAAAUAGUGACCCCAGAUAAGGAACAGAGUUAAAAACGUGAGCCUAUGGAGAGGUUUCAGGUCACACUUAUAACAGCUGCUUAAUCUUAAAUCGGAAAACCAAACAAAAAUAAUUUUUUUGUUGUGAAAUUUUCAGAGUGCUGAGAGAACCUUUGUGUCAUGAAUGAAUCUUUUUGGGUGCUAGACCCUUGACCUGUGAGGUUCUCUAGUGCAGAACAUCCCCACCGGCAGGAUCCCAGCAGCAUUCACUCAGGGACUGAGCCUGCUCUAGUAAACAAGCAGCCUUUCUUAUCUGACAGGGAACGACUGCCUGUCAUGCAGGAUCUCACUAAGCUCAUUCAGAAGAAGCUGUUCAUCUGUCAAACCAGGUGAAAAGCACUGAAUUGUAUUGCAGUUGCAGAAAUAAACCCACUAUGGGGGGGGGGGACGUCUAUAAUCUGGGCACUGGGAAACUGAGGCAAGAGAAUCAACACCUGGAGUCCACACUGGUCCGCAGAGUGAAACCUUGUUUCAAAACUCUGUAACAAAACAAAAGAACUCUGCAAUGUGGCUUCCAGCAUAUUGUGACGAUAAAAGACCCAACCUCCAUGGAAGGCAACUGUGUGAUGAGUGCCAAAACAAACACAGUUCAGUCUGAAGUUCAGGUUCUAAGUGGCCUGACCUGCACACAGCGCGUGUCUGUGGUGAGUCCCGUGUGGAGAAAAUAUACAAGUAAGACCGCUACGUGCCUGGCGACUGGAGAUGUGAUGGGGCACAGCGCACAGAGAGCCAUAAUGGCCUCAUGCUACAGGUCUGGGACGCUCAGCAACACCCCAGCAGGCACUGCACUGUCUAGUGGACAAGCUCUGUUAGCAGGAAGAGCUUCUCUGCGUCUGCUCAAGAAAGGCUGGUCAAGGCUCCCUCCACCUACACAUACUGUGGUUGGAGAAAUCAAGGUUCCUGGCAAAAGAGAGUAGCUUCACGGGAGGCAUGAGGCCGAGGUCGUUCUGUCAUGCUCUCCUAGUCUCCAUCCGACCGACCGUCCAAAGCGUCCUACUAGCGUCUGGCUGAGGGAAGGAAGCAGGGCCUAGAUCCAUACAAAAACAGCUUGGCCACAGCAAGAAUCUGCGUACAAACCAGCAAAUGAGGCAGAAAACUUCCUUCCCAGGGAAGAAUUGCAAAGCGUCCCCAGAGAUAGCUAAUAAAAUUUACUUUUUUUUAGUUUCA